CAGUCAUGCUAGUGAGGAAUCAACUUGAUGGUGUGUGGGUUCUCUCGCAUACUUUCCGGUGCACUUCCUCGCUCGGCAGGUUAGCAUCAAUUUCGGUUAUCAAUAAAAAUUUGAGGAAUGUGGCUUUCCGUUCGGGAAAGUGUUAUAGACCUCGAUCGAUGGUGGU
Molecule: ribosomal RNA, 166 nt
Filed under: Acaulospora cavernata
Lineage: Eukaryota; Fungi; Glomeromycota; Glomeromycetes; Diversisporales; Acaulosporaceae
Source: RNAcentral